CAGAGAUAAAUCCCAGUGACCCUGAAGCAGCACCCCGACGUUCCGCUCCCAGCAGCCACACCCACCGGGCCCUCUCCGGCGUCUGCUUUCCACAAUGCAGCCCCCGCCCAGGAGGGCCCAUGUGCUUACCCUGUUUUGCCCAUGAAGAAACAGCUCAGUGUUGCGGGUCAGUGCCCACAUCACACAGCAUCUAGCACGUAACUGCACCCCGGGAGUCGUGGGCAUCUGCUGGCCUCCUGCCGGCCUCCUGCCCUGCUGACAGCUUGCUGUGCCCCCUGCCUGCCCCAGUACGAGCGGGCCCUGGACGUGGCGGCAGAGCCCAAGCACGAGCGGCAGCGCCGAGCCCAGAUACGCAAGAACAUCACGGAGACUCUGGUGUCCCUGAGGGUCCACACUGUGGAUGACAUCCAGCAGAUCGCUGCUGCGCUGGCCCAGUGCAUGGGGCCCAGCAGGGAGCUCGUAUGCCGCUCGUGCCUGAAGCAGACGCUGCACAAGCUGGAGGCCAUGAUGCGCAUCCUGCAGGCAGAGACCACCGCGGGCACCGUGACGCCCACCGCCAUCGGAGACAGCAUCCUCAACAUCACAG
This 586-nucleotide long non-coding RNA is filed under the name Homo sapiens (human). RNAcentral's name for it is "novel transcript". The record is from RNAcentral. Lineage: Eukaryota; Metazoa; Chordata; Mammalia; Primates; Hominidae.